RNAcentral lists this ribosomal RNA (572 nucleotides) under Enterocytozoon bieneusi. RNAcentral describes it as "SSU rRNA". It matches the Rfam family "Microsporidia small subunit ribosomal RNA", at positions 314 to 891 of the family's 1311-position model. Lineage: Eukaryota; Fungi; Microsporidia; Enterocytozoonidae. The record is from RNAcentral.
ACGGGGGAGACAGUCAUGAGACGUGAGUAUAAGACCUGAGUGUAAAGACCUUAGGGUGAAGCAAUUGGAGGGCAAGCUUUGGUGCCAGCAGCCGCGGUAACUCCAACUCCAAGAGUGUCUAUGGUGGAUGCUGCAGUUAAAGGGUCCGUAGUCGUGAAUGCAAUUAAAUGUCGUUGUUCAAUAGCGAUGAGUUUGCUAAUGUUUGCGGAACGGAUAGGGAGUGUAGUAUAGACUGGCGAAGAAUGAAAUCUCAAGACCCAGUUUGGACUAACGGAGGCGAAGGCGACACUCUUAGACGUAUCUUAGGAUCAAGGACGAAGGCAGGAGUAUCGAAAGUGAUUAGACACCGCUGUAGUUCCUGCAGUAAACUAUGCCGACAGCCUGUGUGUGAGAAUACGUGGGCGGGAGAAAUCUUAGUGUUCGGGCUCUGGGGAUAGUACGCUCGCAAGGGUGAAACUUAAAGCGAAAUUGACGGAAGGACACUACCAGGAGUGGAUUGUGCUGCUUAAUUUAACUCAACGCGGGAAAACUUACCAGGGUCAAGUCAUUCGUUGAUCGAAUACGUGAGAAUG